AACGAACGCUGGCGGCAGGCCUAACACAUGCAAGUCGAGCGAGGACUUCGGUUCUAGCGGCGGACGGGUGGGUAACGCGUGGGAAUGUGCCCUUCUCUACGGACUAGCCCUGGGAAACUGGGAGUAAUACCGUAUACGCCCUAUUGGGGAAAGAUUUAUCGGAGAAGGAUCAGCCCGCGUUGGAUUAGGUAGUUGGUGGGGUAAUGGCCUACCAAGCCGACGAUCCAUAGCUGGUUUGAGAGGAUGAUCAGCCACACUGGGACUGAGACACGGCCCAGACUCCUACGGGAGGCAGCAGUGGGGAAUCUUAGACAAUGGGGGCAACCCGGAUCUAGCCAUGCCGCGUGAGUGAUGAAGGCCUUAGGGUUGUAAAGCUCUUUCAGCUGGGAAGAUAAUGACGGUACCAGCAGAAGAAGCCCCGGCUAACUCCGUG
Molecule: ribosomal RNA, 433 nt
Filed under: uncultured bacterium
Lineage: Bacteria
Description: partial 16S ribosomal RNA
Rfam family: Bacterial small subunit ribosomal RNA
Source: RNAcentral